Molecule: ribosomal RNA, 308 nt
Filed under: uncultured Caulobacteraceae bacterium
Lineage: Bacteria; Pseudomonadati; Pseudomonadota; Alphaproteobacteria; Caulobacterales; Caulobacteraceae
Description: bacterial SSU rRNA
Rfam family: Bacterial small subunit ribosomal RNA
Source: RNAcentral
GGCUCAGAACGAACGCUGGCGGCAGGCCUAAAACAUGCAAGUCGAACGGACCCUUCGGGGUUAGUGGCGGACGGGUGAGUAACACGUGGGAACGUGCCCUUUGGUUCGGAAUAAUCCGGGGAAACCUGGCCUAAUGCCGAAUGAGCCCUACGGGGGAAAGAUUUAUCGCCAUUGGAGCGGCCCGCGCCUGAUUAGCUAGUUGGUGAGGUAAAGGCUCACCAAGGCGACGAUCAGUAGCUGGUCUGAGAGGAUGAUCAGCCACACUGGGACUGAGACACGGCCCAGACUCCUACGGGAGGCAGCAGUGG